RNAcentral lists this transfer RNA (73 nucleotides) under Bacteroidota bacterium. RNAcentral describes it as "tRNA-Gly". It matches the Rfam family "tRNA". From Rfam's summary of the family: Transfer RNA (tRNA) molecules are approximately 80 nucleotides in length. Their secondary structure includes four short double-helical elements and three loops (D, anti-codon, and T loops). The record is from RNAcentral. Lineage: Bacteria; Pseudomonadati; Bacteroidota. RNAcentral also lists the same sequence under 1 other name.
GCGGGAAUAGCUCAGUUGGCAGAGCAUCAGCUUCCCAAGCUGAGGGUCGGGGGUUCGAAUCCCCUUUCCCGCU